CUCCCCCAGCUGCAGAUGCAUCACGGGGCCGUGUUUCUGCGCUUGCCGCUGCAGUGCCCUGUGAGGAAGAUCUCCGACUAGGAGGUGGAGGUGGCCGAUCACCGGCAGCUUUCGCGGGCUCGGAGGCAGGUUUUGGUGAGGUUUUGGGGAUUUUAGGGUUGGUCCAUGCCUUGAGCAGGAAGAAGAUGAAGGAUGAAAGGAGCAGGAGAGUGGUUGUGAUGUUGAAGGGGAGAUCAAUCUCCAUUUCUGAUGAAUAUAUGUUAUUGUAUGAUGAUGAGUAUGUGUUUGAUGAAUUGCAUGUGUAUUUAUAGUGAAGAAUAUUUGAAGCUGCAGUGUAUGAGUNUGCCUUGUGAGGCAGAUCUCCGACUAGGAGGUGGAUGUGGCCGAUCACCGGCAGCUUCGGCGGGCUCGGGGGCAGGUUUUGGUGGGCUUUGGGGGAUUUAGGUUUGGUCCAUGCCUUGAGUAGGAAGAAGAUGAAGGAUGAAAGGAGCAGGAGA
Molecule: long non-coding RNA, 497 nt
Filed under: Salvia miltiorrhiza (redroot sage)
Lineage: Eukaryota; Viridiplantae; Streptophyta; Magnoliopsida; Lamiales; Lamiaceae
Description: long non-coding RNA (SMIL_LNC006975)
Source: RNAcentral